AAUUCUUUAGUUUUGUACAAAUAUUAAGUUAAAAUUCUUUACAUAUAAAUUGAAGUUUCUUAAAUUUUGUUUAGUUUAGUCUUUUAUAAAACUAUAUUUUUUUUGGGACCAAAAUUAUCUUUCUAGACAUCUAGUGAAAGGCUUAUAGUGAUUCAGACUUUCGUAGUUCGCAUUCUACUACUAGAAUUUGCUCUUCAUCUCCAGCAGCAAAUCCGGGAAGAACAAUCAAAAUCGUCAUCGCUUCAUCUAACUCCUAUAUCUUCAACGUUUUGGUUGAAUGGAACUGAAUUCUAGUUAUGCAUUAUGCUUCCAUGUUUGAGGUUUUUUUUCAUGGAAUCAUAUAUUUAAGUAUAUAAUCAUCGAUAAAUCACCUAAACCGUUUUUAUUUUAUGAAAUAUU
RNAcentral lists this small RNA (399 nucleotides) under Arabidopsis thaliana (thale cress). RNAcentral describes it as "ATSL068380". The record is from RNAcentral. Lineage: Eukaryota; Viridiplantae; Streptophyta; Magnoliopsida; Brassicales; Brassicaceae.